This 75-nucleotide small RNA is filed under the name Xanthomonas prunicola. RNAcentral's name for it is "sX9 sRNA". It matches the Rfam family "Xanthomonas sRNA sX9". The record is from RNAcentral. Lineage: Bacteria; Pseudomonadati; Pseudomonadota; Gammaproteobacteria; Lysobacterales; Lysobacteraceae.
CGGUGCCACGCGUGCACUGCAUUCCUGUGCGCUGUCUGCAGACGCCUGACGACCGCUCGCUGCGUUUCGUUAGGC